CAAUAGCGUAUAUUUAAGUUGUUGCAGUUAAAAAGCUCGUAGUUGGAUUUCGGGUGUGAGCGACCGGUCCGUCUUUGAUGUGUACUGGUUGGUUGCGCCUUAUUGUCGAGGACGUGGUUCUAGCUUUCAUUAGCCGGGACACGGAGUCGGCAGCGUUACUUUGAGAAAAUUAGAGUGUUCAAAGCAGGCUAUCGCUCUGAAUACUACAGCAUGGAAUAACACGAUAGGACUCCGAGCCUAUUCUGUUGGUCUUCGGGACCGGAGUAAUGAUUAAGAGGGACAGUUGGGGGCAUUCGUAUUCCGAUGUCAGAGGUGAAAUUCUUGGAUUAUCGGAAGACGAGCAUCUGCGAAAGCAUUUGCCAAGGAUGUUUUCAUUAA
This 378-nucleotide ribosomal RNA is filed under the name uncultured eukaryote. Its description in RNAcentral is "partial 18S ribosomal RNA". It matches the Rfam family "Eukaryotic small subunit ribosomal RNA", at positions 592 to 976 of the family's 1831-position model. The record is from RNAcentral.